GACUCUCAGCAUCAUGGGAGGAUCUAUGGAUCGAUUUGAGCUUCUUAAAUCUGACACCAAUAUCUUCGUGGGUCCAAGCAUCCUCUAUAUUCCUCCUUCCCAGAUCCAAACAUCAUAGGAUAAAAAGAGUAAGCUUCAGUGUCAGAGUGAAGAUCCGAGCUCAAAAAUGGAUAAAGGAAUAUUUACUUGAAGGUAGCAGCUUUGCAUAGUUGAUUAGAUCUCUCAGAGCUAAUAAAAAAGCUGGUCAAGGUCCCAUUCAGCGGAGAACUCAGCUAUUGAAGGUGUUUCAAUAGUAGGAGAAUAAUAAGAAGCAAAUUCAUCAAUAUAAAGGAAAUUCUACUUACUUUUGUAAGCUGAAUAAGCAAGUAGCACUUGAAGAAGAUGACACCUGUUUGAUGAUCCAAAAAAGAAGAAGGCAGAGCUCAAGGUUGAAGAAAGGCAGAUCCAUUUUAAGAGGAGGCGUGAAGUUAAUAGAGAUUAGGAAAAUGGGUGAUUUUGGAAACCCUACUGCCUUUUUGGGUCUUAAGAAAAUCCGGGUUGGACCGGGUCUUUCAAAUAGUAGUGGGCUUUUAAUUGUAAAAUGGGUUGGUCCGUUAAUUCUUGAAUAAUUUUUAAUAAAAUACCAAAUUAAACAAAAAAAAACUUUUAAUAUAGUAUAGAUUAGAGAUUGGAGAUAUAGAUUAUUAUUAUUAUUAUUACUACUACUACUAUUAUUAUUAUUAUUACUAUUACUAUUAUUGUCAUACCCCUUUUUAACUCCAAAAAGAUAUUAUUUUAAAGUUCGAAAGGGUUUUUAUUAUCAAAGUGACAAAAGAUAAAAAUUUAUUUCGAAAAGGACCUUUUAUAUUAAAAACUCAGAGGCGCCACUUGGCAUAAUCCGGUGUGCCAAAUCACCUUUGGAAAAUCCUUUUCAAAAUGAUUUGACUCUUUAAAACUGGUUUGCGAACAGAGAUUCCGGCUAAGAAUUUUGUUGAUCGACGGGAAGAUUUUAGGCACCCCUCGAUACCGUGGUUCGACCACGGUCACUGCGUAUCGGCUAAUUUGACACCAUGAAUGUAUAAAACCACACAAAAGCACGCAAAACAAUCAAUCAAGCAAACAAAAUGAAAAUAAUCCAAAAUUUGGUGUCCAGUCCAAUUUAUUACAUGCCGAAAUAGAAAAUACUGAAAUAAACCUACACUAACUUAUACUAGUCCUAAACUAUACUCUACCCGAUACCUCGGGCCUUCAUGACAGACAUCCUCCAUGUACAAAAUACCUCGAGGCAUUCCCCGGCGAAUAAACACAAAUAACUCGGGGUAUUCCCCGGCCAAAUGAAUACACUUUUAAUGCCGGAAGACCACAACCAUUCAACAAUAUUUCAAACAUUCCAAUAUUUAUAAUCCAUAAAUUUUCCUAUCACCCCUAUCGUUUGCCUUUCGAUUUGACGGCCUAAUCAUGAUACUAUCAAGUUCAAUGACAUCAAUGAAUCAAAAUUAGUCCGUAUUCAUUUUUUUGCUUUUCAAAUUCCGCCCUACUUUAAUUCUUGAUCAAUUAACCAAUUCCAAUACAGAAUCAUCCAAUCAAAACUACGACAAUCAUAGACGUUCAAAUAUACUAUCAAAAAUUAUAUCAUCAAUCAACAUGAAGCAAGCAACUCACAACAUCACCUCACCAAAUUAUGUAAAACAAAGAGAAGGAUCUGAAGAAUCGGACCUUAGAAGAAGCUUUAAAAAUUGAUGUAUUAUUCCAAGAAAAACUUGGUAUAAUCCGUGUCGAGAACCUUAAUUCAGACCUCAAUCACGAACUUGCCAACUCGAUCAAAACUGCAAAACAGCAGAGAAAACCAUAAAAAAAAUCCAAAUCUCAAUUUUUAAACCAAGCUUGAAACGAGUCACACCAGGUUUGCUAUUUUUGGUGAAGUUUGAACUCCCUGGAGCUCCGUUGGAUCUCGGCAGUUAGCGAAAUAAUGUUUUCCCAGUGAGAUUUUGCCAGAAAACUAGAAACGAAAGAGAAUUCAAAGAUUUUGAGGGUGCGGAUGGUCUAAUUCCGGUAAGGGAAUACCAAUUCCGGUGAGAAACUCGCCGGAAAAACCAAACCAGCCGUCCUUGAUUUGAAGGUAAUAUGUUUCCUAUUUUAUCAAAGAAAACUUGUGAGUUAAAAAACAUGGUGGAUGGCUUGUGUCUUUAGCUUUCGCGACAAUCGCUCUUGCCCCAGUCACAUUUAACCUUGCUUCCAACUAUUAGCAUAUGUCAUUGACUUGUUGCAUCAGUGAUCCAAAUUCAUAUUAGGAAGAGUGACUCUGCCACAAACACAGUAUCUCUGCUUUGCCAUGUUUCUCAGUUAAACCCUUUGAACAAUGGUAUUUCUGUGGGUUCCCAGACUUGUCUGUUGACAAAACUCUCUACAUGUCCUUUUUUUUUCAGCUCACAAUCAUGUCUCUUUCUUGCGCUGGCCUUUUUGUCUUGCUUUGUACAAUUGAAGAAGUUGGUAGCCAAUUUUAAAAUCUUUUUUCACUUGUUUCGACAUGGACUAGACUCAAAGACAAGAGCAAAAAUGACCAUGAUUUUUUAUUUGGAUAACUGACUCAAGAAAAAUAAAAUAAAAAUAAAAUAAAGAGAAGAAAGAAAAGACAAUGAAUGUCCCCAUUAAAAAAAAAUAAUGAAAAAUGUAUCUAAAAAUGAGAGUUAACUCUAAUGAUUAUGCCAUGCAUUUUGGAUUAAGCUGCCUGAUCUUUCAUCCAAACCUUCUACUAAUUGUUAUUGAGUUAAUGACCUUGAAACUGAAUUGCUUCCUUGGGCCAAUUUGCAUUCAAAAAUCUCAUUUGGCUAGUGGCACCUUGAAGGGUUUUCGCCAACAAGCCUCUCUCAUCUUCUUUUCCUCAACUCACCAUAGUCUUAUGGUGUCUGUAAGAGUUUUCACCAACGAGACUCUCUUAUCUUCAUUUCUCUCAACUCACAGUCGUCUUACGAUGCCCGUGAGAGUUUUCACCGAUAAGACUCUCUCAUUUUUACUGCUCUCUUGAUUUCUUAUGCCGAGGAAGACAAGUGGUUCCCAAAUGCAUCAUCAUAUCCCUUGUAUUCUUAGCCUUAACAUCCUCAAAGAUUGAUCCGAAGGUCUUUCUUUGGUUGUAACUUGGCUUUUGGAUAGGGUUAGAAAGAAGGGAUGGCAUGGGGCCCAAACGACACUUAAAGUGGGGUAGGACUUACAACUUUUAAAAUCGACUCAAAUAAUGAGGAUUAACUCAUGCCCCAGUUUUUAACUAUGCAAUUCUAAAUCAUUUAUUUGGUUGGCCCGAGCCCUAAGUAGGGCAGCCUACGUAUCUCACCCCCGGUAGAGGAGAAUCAAGUCAUGCGUAGUUCUGCCAACUUAUUUUGCUUGAUUCUGAUUUCUUUUUUCUUUUGACUUCUUUUUUUUUUCUUUGUAAUUUUUCUGACUCUAUUUACUUACUCUUUUCUUCCUUCUUGGACACAUUUUCCUCUUUUUUUUUUAACUUUCUGACACUACUCUCUUGCUCGAUACUUUUCUUUUGAACUUUGUUGGUUUUAUCUUGAUUCCAAAAAAAGGGUAUGAAAGAAAAUAACACUAAGGCUUAAAUGGGGUAAACAAAGGAUGACACAAUGUUUAGAUAGCAGAAUAAAAUGUCUUCGUCAUAUCAAUCCUUGAAAAUGCACGUACAUAUCAUGCAAUAUGAAAGUGAAAGAUGAAGAUCAUUUGACACCUUAACAACACUAUCUUUAAUUGAACAUGUGUGCUACUUCUUCCUCUACACUUCUCAAACAUAUAACUCCACCUUUGUUGUAUAUCCCUUACAUUGAAUGACUCAUACUUUCGUCGAGUUGAUUUUCUUUAUAUUCCUCUUGAUAGGAUCACGCAGACACUGUUUGACCUAAUCGAGACAUGUCUUUUAAUUGACGACCAAGUUAUUCUUGUGAUUCUCAAAAUAAUUGCCUUAAUUUUUAGAAAAGGCUUUAACUUGUCACCAAAUAUCUCAGCACUCUACUAUUUUCUUAGAUGUUUCUCCUAACUUUAGCCCUCUGAUUCAAUGUUCAUGCUUAAACUGCAUUUUAAGAUCUGACUGAAAAUUCUGCAGGCAUGUCAUAUUACUAGAAUCAACAUAAAAUAUGUUGUAUAAAGAAAACAAACAAACAACACAUUUGAAACAUAAAAGGAAAGGGACACUUCAUUUAGUUGAAAUAAAAGAUAAAAGGGUUUGAACAUAAACGACGAAGGGACAAACAAGAUAGAUCUCGAACUACAACCCUGAAAUACUUCAAAAAAUAAAAAAGAAAACAAAACAAACUACCAGACCUCUUCCUAGUAGGGAGAUGGGUGACUUCUCAUUUGCUCAGCCUGACAACUUAGCCACUGGUUUGCAUAUCAACAUGACCAGAGCUUCCCUCACUGUCAAUGUUCUGCACCAUAAUCGAUCCAUCUUGAAUCAUCUUUUCAAUUUCCCUUUUCAAAUCUCUACAAUCUUUAAUACUAUGACCCUGAGCAUCAGAAUUAUACGCACAUCAUACAUUAGGGUCAAAAUUUCUUGAACGUCGAUUAAGAGUGCACCCAAGGAAAGGAGUGUUCAUUCUCCACUAUACCAAUUUCUGAAACAAACUGGCAUACGACUCUCUAAUUGGUGUGAAGCUAUCUCUCGACUUCUGCCUCAUUUCAUCAUUUGGCUUGGAUCAAAAAUCAGGCGUAGAAGGGUUUUGGUAUAUUUGUGAAGUUAGAGGAUGACUCUGAAUUGUUGGUGUUUUCCACUGUGGGUAAGAUGGGGGUUGAUUAUGUGGUUGUGCAUUAUAUACUGAAUAUGGAGGUGGAGGAGCAGAGUAUAAUGGAUUUUAGGAGUGAUUAUGUGGAGCUUGGGCAGGACCUUGGGUUUGAGCCUGAGAGUGGCGACAACGGGGUCUUCUUGACCGUGCCCACUGUCCAACUACAAUAGAGGAUGCAACUUCCUCAUUCUUUGUCUCCACAACACUUCCUGAACCCUUUUGAAUUGCUUGAGUUGUCACUUUCAAUGUUGCAAAACUCACAAUGUGACCAGUCUUAAUUCCCCCUUCUAUCAUCUCCCCAUUUUAAGGACCUCAAUAAAUGACUUGCCUAAUGCAGGUAACAAGUGUUGAUAAUAUAUUUCAUCCUGUGCUUGAAUAAAUACCUUUGCUAUUUUGCUUUCUUUCAUUGGCGGUUUUACUCUCACAGCUUGUUCGCGCCAUCUGAACGCAUACUUUCUGAAACUCUCAGUAUUCUUCUUUUUUAUACUAGUUAGGGAUUUUUCGUCAGAGAUCAACUCCACAUUGUAUUGAAAUUGUUAAAAAAAUUCAUUAGCUAGGUCAUCCCAACUAAUCUACUUGUCAAUGUCUUGGUCAACAAACCAUUUCGAAGCUAGGCCUGAAAGACUCUCCCAGAAAUAAUCCUUGAGUAGUUCUUCCUUCCCUCUAGUGCCCCUCAAUUGGUUAUAAUAGCGACUCAAAUGUGCCACUGGGUCCCCAUGUCCAUCAUAGUUCUCAACCUUUGGCAAUUUAAAGCCAGGUGGAAGGUUGACACCUGGAAACAUGCAUAAGUCCUUAUAUGAGACACUUAUGUAACCCUCAAGUCCUUGCAAGUUCUUCAUAGCCAGUUCCAAACUUCUCAAUUUUUGGUCAUUUUUCCUCUUGUCCUUCUUUCAUAACAAGCUUCUUAGUGUUAGGAGGAAAUUCAAGCGGGUGAGUGUCACUGUAAAGACCAGUCAACUUGAAUGUAGGCUCGAAAGUGUAAUGCUGAUCACCAAUAAUAUUCAAUGCAGGCUUUCUUGUAGAGUAGGGAGGCACAACUUGUGGACGAACAUCAAAAGUAGGAGCUUCAGGUGGUGGUGGCACCGCAAAAGCAUAAACAACAGGUGGAGCCGAGUAUGUGGUAGUCUUGGAUUAGGGAGUGAGGAAAUGAACAUUAGAAGUGGUUGGGUAUUGUUGCCCCCGAGUCGAUCCUGAUGCAUGUUGUGGCAUAUCAACAAAAAUGGGAAAUUGUGCAUAUGACACGAGAGGCAAGAUGGAAAGAUAUUCCAGAUUAUCAUUGGGAACUGGAGGAGGAGGUAACCCAUUAGCCCAAGCUCGAUGCAUUCCUAUCAUUUGCUGCCUCAAUUUUCGAAUCACUUCAUUAGCUCCUACAUUCUCACUUCCCAAACUCCCUAUCUGAUUAGUGACAACAAACUCGGUAUCCUUGUUAGCCAUAACCUUCUCUAUGACUUGGUGCAAUAUGGAGGACCCGCUAAAAUGCCACAACCCAACCACCUCAAACUAACUGAACAAGAGAUAGCAAAUGUGUUAGAGUUCAACACUUUCUCAAAAUCUCUCCUUUUUUUUCUUUUUUAAAAGGUCACCGAACCCAAGAAGGGUGUCUACGUAUCUCAGCCCCCGAGAGAGGAGAAUCAGGUGUGCGUAGUUCGUGAAAUCUUGCCAAAAUGGUCAAAUAAACUCUUUUUCUUUUUCUUGAAACUUUAAAAAUAAAAGGAAAUAACAAAUUGUCAAAAGAAUUGACGAAAAUCUUUUUUGCAUUUUUUGGCUUUAAUAACCUAUACAAAAUGAAACCUAUGAUUACCAAAGAAAAGUCAUUUUGGAUUUUCGAUUUUAAAUUUCAUAUGAAAAUAAAACUUGAAACUAUUAAAGGAAAAUGUUUUUGUAGUUUUCUUUUAGAGAUUUAUAUAAGACACUUACUUUAAAUAAAGAGUGAAGAAAAUCUUUUAGAAUUUUUCAAAUAAGAUCUCCGAACCAAAAAUAGGUUGCCUACAUAUCUCACAUCCCGAAAGAGGAGAAUCAGGGGUGCGUAGUUUGUCCAGAUUGGAUAAUUAAUGAUUAAAUAACCAACUAAACCCGGACUUGAGAGACCAGACCACAAACAGAAGAUGAAAAACAUCAAUAAAAUCUUUUUAAGUUUUCAAUUUGAGUCUUAACCUAAAAAUGACACCAAUAAAUAUGCAAGGAAAAUCUUUUUGAUACUUUCGUUAUAUGAAAUGUAUAAAACUUCUAUCAGUUUUUAAAUUUUUCUUUUAUAAAAGGCUCCUAUUGAAAAAAAAUCUUUUUAAAAUUUUUGAAUUAUGAAUGCAUGCUAAAGGAGACAAAGCAAAAAACUUUCUGAUGUUUUUGAUUUUAGACAAAUGAGUGCAAAAGGAAAAAAAAUCUUUCUGAAUUUUGAAUUUUGAAAAACAAAAGCCAUAAAGAACUCUAAAAACUAGAAACUCUCUUUUUUUUCUUUUCGACUCACUAUUCUUCUUUUUUUUUCUUUACUUCUAACACAUGUUUUCCCCAAAUUAGUCCAUCAAAUGACCAUAUUACCCUCAAAGAUGCAACAAUUAACACGUAGGGAUGCUUUAGAGGCGAGUCUCCUACAAAAGGCCAAGUGGGCCCCGUUAGGUCUUCAAUAUGAUGCAUAUAAACAUGACCUAAAGGCUGACCUACGUUGGGGUUCACUAACAAGGCUGUUCGGAGGAGCGUAUAUUCGAUAGUGGUUGCUUUGCUUUCCAUCUACUCAAUAACACCGAUGGCUCCUCCCAUAAAAUAAGGGUGACUCAACUAGAGGUCGUGUGCAAUACAUGUACUAUGGACUUGUUGCAGAAAGAAUGACUCGGGCUAUGCACAUGAUGCUAGAUAUAAAGUAGUAACACAUAAGAUAAAACUGUAAACAAAGAGCAUGUAGGCACUCAAAAAAAAAAACAAAAAGCAACACAAACAUAUGUCUAUACACCUAUAGUGACAAACUAAGCUGAUACAACUCCAAAUUAAGCUCUAAUUCUGAAAAUAGAUCUCCAGCAGAGUCGCCAGAGCUGUCACACCUCUUUUAAACUCCAAAAAGAUAUUAUUUUAAAAGUUUGAAAGGGUUUUCGUUAUAAAAGUGACAAAAGAUAAAAAUUUGCUUCGAAAAGGACCUUUUAUAUUCAAAACUCAGAGUCGCCACUUGGCAUAAUCCGGUGUGCCAAGUCACCUUUGGAAAAUCCUUUUCAAAAUGAUUUGACUCAAACUGGUUUGCUAACAGAGAUUUUGACUAAGGAAUUUUGUUGACAGACGGGAAGGUGUUAGGCACCCCUCGAUCCUGUGAUUUGAACGCGGUCGCUUGUUGGAGCAUAUCGGCUAAUUUGACACCACGAAUGUAUAAACCACACAAAAGCACGCAAAACAAUCAAUCAAGCAAAAAAAAAUAAAAACAAUCCAAAAUUUGGUGUCCAGUCCAAUUUAUUACAAAUCGAAAUAGAAAAUACUGAAAUAAACCUACACUAACCUAUACUAGUCCUAAAUUAUACUCUACCCGAUGCCUUGGUCCUUCAUCACAGACAUCCUCCGUGUACAAAAUACCUCAGGGCAUUCCCCAACGAAUAAACACAAAUACCUCGGGGCAUUCCCCAGCCAAAUGAAUACAUUUUUAAUGCAAGAAGACCACAAUCAUUCAAUAAUAUUUCAAACAUUCCAUAUUUUAUAAUCCCUAAAUUUGCUUAUCACCCCUAUUGUUUGCCUAUCGAUUUGACGACCUAAUCUUGAUACUAUCAAGUUCGAUGACAUCAAUGAAUCAAAAUUAGUCCGUAUUCAUUUUUUUACUUUUCAAAUCCCAUCUCACUUUUAUUCUUGAUCAAUUAACCAAUUCCAAUACAGAAUCAAAACUACGAUAAUCAUAGACGUUCAAACAUACUAUAAAAAAUUAUAUCAUCAAUCAACAUGAACCACGCAACUCACAACAUCACCUCACCAAAUUAAGUAAAACAAAGAGAAGGAGUUGAAGAAUUGGACCUUAGAAGAAGCUUUCAAAAUUGAUGUAUUAUUCCAAUAAAAACCCGGUACAAUCCGCGUCGAGAACCUUGAUUCAUACCUCAAUCACGAACUUGCCAACUCGAUCAAAACCCCAAAACAGCGGAGAAAGCCACAAAAAAAAUCCAAAUCUCAAUUUUUGAACCAAGCUUGAAAUGAGUCAUGCCAGGUUUGUUAUUUUUGGUGAAGUUCGAACUCGCUGAAGCUCCGAUGGAUCUCGACAGUCAGCGAAACAAUGUUUUCCCAGUGAGAUUUUGCCAGAGAACUAGAAAUGAAAGAGAAUUCGAAGAUUUUGAGGGUGCGGAUGGUCUAAUUCCGGUAAGGGAAUACCGAUUUCGGCGAGAAACUCGCCGAAAAAACCAAACCAGUCGUCCUUUUUCUCAUGUAUUCCCUCUCUUCGAUCGAUUCUCUCCCUUUCUCAAUUUGGAUUGUCUUCUCUCCGAUCUCACGCUCAGAUUUGUCUCUCACUGUGGUUGUGUGUAUGUAUAAUGGUUUUGUGUGAAGGCAGGUGUAUUAAUGGAAUAAACUCAUCAGUGAUGGUGUCUAUAUAUUCCUCUUUCCCGUAUUCUAUAUGUGUAUAUGUUGAAUUGAGAUCUUUUUCUUUAUGGUUACCGUGAUGUUCGUCCAUGGCGUGUAGGUGUGUUCGUGGUAUAUGGGUCUUCUCUAAAAAUGGAAAAAAAUGGUCAGAAUGUUACUGUGUGGACAUCUCUGUAUUGUUAUCUAUUGUAUUCUUAUGUAUUCGCCUCCCAGUUUCUGUGUGAAGUGCGUGUGUAUAUUGUGAAUUACAGUGAGUGAGAAUUGUGUGGUAGUGGAGUAGGGUAGGUGGGCUAGUGAGGUGCGGGUAGGGGUAGGAUGUGAUGUGGUUUAUUUUGAUUGGAUGGGUUGUUAGGAUAAGAUAAAAUUAGCUAGGGAUUGUUAUUUUUGUCAUUUUGUGGAGAUUAUCACACGGGGUAGGGUACGCGGUAGGAUAAGGUAAAAAUGUGUAAAAAUGAUAUAGGGAAGGGACAAAAUUAGGUGUCUACAUCAUGCCCCCUUUGAAUGUAAACACAAAGUAUUUUUGAACAAAGAAGUAGACAACAAGACAGAAUUUUGUCCCGAUCAUUAUUCGAAGGAAAAAUAGAAGAAAGAAGAGCAAUCGAGUAUUGACUUAGGACACCCUACCUACCCAAGUUAUGAGGGAAUCAAGUGACAGGAUUCUCAAAGGAUUGAAAGGAGAUGGACUUUACCGAGUUGAAGAGUCGAGUGAGGUCCCGAUGAGGUUCCAGUCCGCGCAUCUGUUAUUACAUCAUAAAUAAAAGUUACAAGUUAAAACAUAAAUAAAAUUACAAAAUCAUAUCUAUGCAGUUAGUUUCUUUUGGACUCUUAACUUGAGUUUCAUCACUCUAUUCUUCAGGCGGGCUCCUGACUUGCAAUUUCAUCACUUGUUGCUUGGUUUUCAAUCUCUUCACCCUGUUCUUCAGGCGGGUUCCUAACUUGCUAUUUUUUCAAUCUGUUGACUUUAAAUUUCUUCACCUUGUUGCUUGACUUUCAACUUCUUCACCUUGUUACUUGACUUUCAACUUUUUCACCAUGUUGCUUGACUUUUCAUUUAUUCACCCUGCUCUUCAGGCGGGCUCCUGAAAUCACAUCAAUACUAAAAAGAAAAAUUAUCCCAAACAAAGAUUAUUAUAAAGAGAUUUCAUUUGUCAGGAAAGCGAAGUUCCAAACACAGGAUUUAAAUUUUCCCCAGUUUCUCAUCAAAGGACUUUUGGGAAAGUCACAUCAUUAUAGGAAUCAAAGGGAAUGACUAGACUAAAAGGAACAUCUUAUAAGAAUCAAAGGGAAUGACUCAACUAAAAGGUACGUCUUCUAGGAAUCAAGGGAUAUGACUCGACUAAAAGGUACUUCUUAUAGGAAUCAAGGGGCAAGGGGAAUGACUUGACUAAGUCUAAUGACUCGACUAGGGAAUGACUAGACUAAAAGGAACAUCUUAUAAGAAUCAAAGGGAAUGACUCAACUAAAAUGUACGUCUUAUAGGAAUCAAGGGGAAUGACUUGACUAAAAGGUACGUCUUUUAGGAAUCAAAUGACUCGACUAAAGGCACAUCAUCUAGGAAUCAAGGGGAAUGACUAGACUAAAAGGUACGUCUUCUAGGAAUCAAAGGUAAUGACUCGACUAAAAGGUACGUCAUCUAGGAAUCAAGGGGAAUGACUCGACUAAAAGGUACGUUUUCUAGGGGUCAAGGGGAACGAUUCAACUAAAAGGUACGUCUUCUAGGGGUCAAAGGGAAUGACUCGACUAAAAGGUACAUUUUAUAGGAAUCAAGGGGAAUGACUCGACUAAAAGGUACGUCUUCUAGGGGUCAAGAGGAAUGACUCGACUAAAAGGUACGUCUUCUAGGAAUCAAAUUAAAUAACUCGACUAAAAGGUACGCCUUAUAGGAAUCAAGGAGAAUGACUCGACUAAAAGGUACGUCUUCUAGGGGUCAAGGGAAAAGACUCGACUAAAAGAUAUGUCUUAUAGGAAUUAAAGAAGAUGACUCGAAUAAAAGGUACGUCUCAUAGGAGUGAAGGUUCAAUUUAAGAAGUGUAUCACCUAGCAAAUGAAAACUAAAAUCCCUGGACAAGAAAGUGUCUCCGAGGGAUAUAGGAUGAUGAUUUUUUACAAUGACUUGAUUAUUAAACCUGUCCAACAACAUUGUUUCCUGCAUUUGUAGGAGUGAGGCAUUGCAGACCUUGAUAUUUAUGUUCCGAAUUCCUUGAUUUAAAGGUAAUAUGUUUCCUAUUUCAUCAAAAAAAACUUGUGAGUUAAAAAAUAUGGUGGCUGGCUUGUGGCUUUAGCUUUUGCGACAAUCGCUCUUGCCCCAGUCACAUUUAACCUUGCUUCCAACCAUUAGCAUAUGUCAUUGACUUGUUGAAUCAGUGAUCCAAACUCAUAUUAGGAAGAGUGACUCUGCCACAAACACAGUAUCUCUGCUUUGCCAUGUUUCUCAGUUAAACCCUUUGAACUAUGGUAUUUCCGUGGGUUCCCAGACUUGUCUAUUGACAAAACUUUCUAUAUGUCCUUUUUUCAGCUCACAAUUAUAUCUCUUUCAUGCGCUGGCCUUUUUGUCUUGCUUUGUACAAUUGAAGAAGUUGGUAGCCAAUUUUAAAAUCUUUUCUCACUUGUUUCGACAUGGACUAGACUCAAAGACAAGAGCGAAAAUGACCAUGAUUUUUUAUUUGGAUAACUGACUCAAGAAAAAUAAAAUAAAAAUAAAACAAAGAGAAGAAAGAAAAGACAAUGAAUGUACCCAUUAAAAAAAAUAAUGAAAAAUGUAUCUAAAAAUGACAGUUAACUCUAUUGAUUAUGCCAUGCAUUUUGGAUUAAGUUGCCUGAUCUUUCAUCUAAACCUUCUACUAAUUGUUGUUGAGUUAAUGACCUUGAAACUGAAUUGCUUCCUUGGGCCAAUUUGCAUUCAAAAAUCUCAUUUGGCUAGUGGCACCUUGAAGGGUUUUCGCCAACAAGCCUCUCUCAUCUUCUUUUCCUCAACUCACCAUAGUCUUAUGGUGUCUGUAAGAGUUUUCACCAACGAGACUCUCUUAUCUUCGUUUCUCUCAACUCAUAGUCGUCUUACGAUGCCCAUGAGAGUUUUCACCGAUAAGAAUCUCUCAUUUUUAUUGCUCUCUUGAUUUCUUAUGCCGAGGAAGACAAGUGGUUCCCAAAUGCAUCAUCAUAUCCCUUGCAUGCUUAGCCUUAACAUCCUCAAAGAUUGAUCCGAAGGUCUUUCUUUGGUUGUAACUUGGCUUUUGGAUAGGGUUAGAAAGAAGGGAUGGCAUGGGGCCCAAACGGCACUUAAAGUGGGGUAGGACUUACAAUUUUUAGAAACGACUCAAAUAAUGAGGAUUAACUUAUGCCCCAGUUUUUUACUAGGCAAUUCUAAAUUAUUUAUUUGGUUGGACCAAGCCCUAAGUAGGGCAUCCUACGUAUCUCACCCCCGAGAGAAAAGAAUCGGGUCAUGCGUAGUUCUGGCAACUUGUUUUGCUUGAUUCUGAUUUCAUUUUUCUUUUGACUUCUUUUUUUUUCUUUGUAAUUUUUCUGACUCUAAUUUACUUACUUUUUUUCUUCCUUCUUGGACACAUUUUCCUCUUUUUUUGAAAAAACUUUCUGACUCUACUCUCUUGCUCUAUACUUUUCUUUUGAACUUUAUUGGUUUUAUCUUGAUUCCAAAAAAGGGGUAUGAAAGAAAAUAACACUAAGGCUUAAAUGGGGUAGACAAAGGAUGACACAAUGUUUGAAUAACAGAAUAAAAUGUCUUUGUCAUAUCAAUCCUUGAAAAUGCACGUACAUAUCAUGCAAUAUAAAAGUGAAAGAUGAAGAUCAUUUGACACCUUAAAACCACUAUCUUUAAUUGAACAUGUGUGCUACUUCUUCCUCUACACUUGUCAAACAUAUAACUCCACCUUUGUUGUAUAUCCCUUACAUUGAAUGACUCAUACUUUCGUCGAGUUGAUUUUCUUUAUAUUCCUCUUGAUAGGAUCACGCAGACACUGUUUGACCUAAUCGAGACAUGUCUUUUAAUUGAUGACCAAGUUAUUCUUGUGAUUCUCAAAAUAAUUGCCUUAAUUUUUAGAAAAGGCUUCAACUUGUCACCAAAUAUCUCAGUACUCUACUAUUUUCUUAGAUGUUUCUCCUAACUUUAGCCCUCUGAUUCAAUGUUCAUGCUUAAACUGCAUUUUAAGAUCUGACUGAAAAUUCCGCAGGCAUGUCAUAUUACUAGAAUCAACAUAAAAUAUGUUGUAUAAAGAAAACAAACAAACAACACAUUUGAAACAUAAAAGGAAAGGGACACUUCAUUUAGUUGAAAUAAAAGAUAAAAGGGUUUGAACAUAAACGACGAAGGGACAAACAAGAUAGAUCUCGAACUACAACCCUGAAAUACUUCAAAAAAUAGAAAAGAAAACAAAACAAACUACCAGACCUCUUCCUAGUGGGGAGAUGGGUGACUUCUCAUUUGCUCAGCCUGACAACUUAGCCACUGGUUUGCAUAUCAACAUGACCAGAGCUUCCCUCACUGUCAAUGUUCUGCACCAUAAUCGAUCCAUCUUGAAUCAUCUUUUCAAUUUCCCUUUUCAAAUCUCAACAAUCUUUAAUACUAUGACCCUGAGCAUCAGAAUUAUACGCACAUCAUACAUUAGGGUCAAAAUUUCUUGAACAUCGAUUAAGAGUGCACUUAAGGAGAGGAGUGAUCAUGCUCCAUUGUACCAAUUUCUGAAACAAACUAGCAUACGACUCUCUAAUUGGUGUGAAGUUAUCUCUCGACUUCUGCCUCAUUUCAUCAUUUGGCUUGGAUAAAAAAUCAGGCUUAGAAGGGUUUUGGUAUAUUUGUGAAGUUAGAGGAUGACUCUGAAUUGUUGGUGUUUUCCACUGUGGGUAAGAUGGGGGUUGAUUAUGUGGUUGUGCAUUAUAUACUGAAUAUGGAGGUGGAGGAGCAGAGUAUAAUGGAUUUUAGGAGUGAUUAUGUGGAGCUUGGGCAUGACCUUGGGUUUGAGCCUGAGAGUGGCGACAACGGGGUCUUCUUGACCGUGCCCGCUGUCCAACUACAAUAGAGGAUGCAACUUCCUCAUUCUUUGUCUCCACAAUACUUCCUGAACCCUUUUGAAUUGCUUGAGUUGUCACUUUCAAUGUUGCAAAACUCACAAUGUGACCAGUCUUAAUUCCCUCUUCUAUCAUCUCCCCCAUUUUAAGGACCUCAAUAAAUGACUUGCCUAAUGCAGGUAACAAGUUUUGAUAAUAUAUUUCAUCCUGUGCUUGAAUAAACACCUUUGCUAUUUUGCUUUCUUUCAUUGGCGAUUUUACUCUAACAGCUUGUUCGCGCCAUCUGAUCGCAUACUUUCUGAAACUCUCAGUAUUCUUCUUUUUUAUACUAGUUAGGGAUUUUUCGUCAGAGAUCAACUCCACAUUGUAUUGAAAUUGUUGCACAAAUUCAUUAGCUAGGUUAUCCCAACUAAUCUACUUGUCAAUGUCUUGGUCAACAAACCAUUUCGAAGCUAGGUCUAAAAGACUCCCCCAGAAAUAAUCCUUGAGUAGUUCUUCCUUCCCUCUAGCGCCCCUCAAUUGGUUACAAUAGCGACUCAAAUGUGCCACUGGGUCCCCAUGUCCAUCAUAGUUCUCAAACUUUGGCAUUUUAAAGUCAGGUGGAAAGUUGACACCUGGAAACAUGCAUAAGUCCUUAUAUGAGACACUUUUGUAACCCUCAAGUCCUUGCAAGUUCUUCAUAGCCAGUUCCAAACUUCUCAAUUUUUUGGUCAUUUCCUCUUGUCCUUCUUUCAUAACAAGCUUCUCAGUGUUAGGAGGAAAUUCAAGUGGGUGAGUGUCACUGUAAAGACCAGUCAACUUGAAUGUAGGCUCGAAAGUGUACCGCUGAUCACCAGUAAUAUUCAAUCCAGGCUUUCUUGUAGAGUAGGGAGGCACAACUUGUGGACGAACAUCAAAAGUAGGAGCUUCAGGUGGGGGUGGCACCGCAAAAGCAUGAACAACAGGUGAAGCCGAGUAUGUGGUAGUCUUGGAUUGGGGAGUGAGGAAAUAAACAUUAGAAGUGGUUGGGUAUUGUUGCCCCAAAGUCGAUCCUGAUGCAUGUUGUGGCAUAUCAACAAAAAUGGGAAAUUGUGCAUAUGACACGAGAGGCAAGAUGGAAAGAUAUUCCAGAUUAUCAGUGGGAACUGGAGGAGGAGGUAACCCAUUAGCCCAAGCUCGAUGCAUUCCUAUCAUUUGCUGCCUCAAUUUCCGAAUCACUUCAUUAGCUCCUACAUUCUCACUUCUCAAACUCCCUAUCUGAUAGUGACAACAAACUCGGUAUCCUUGUUAGCCAUAACCUUCUCUAUGACUUGGUGCAAUAUGGAGGACCAGCUAAAAUGCCACAACCCAACCACCUCAAACUAACUGAACAAGAGAUAACAAAUGCGUUAGAGUCUAACACUUUCUCAAAAUCUCCCCUUUUUUUCUUUUUGAAAAGGUCACCGAACCCAAGAAGGCUACCUACGUAUAUCACCCCCUGAGAGAGGAGAAUCAGGUGUGCGUAGUUCAUGAAAUCUUGCCAAAAUGGUCAAAUAAACUCUUUUUCUUUUUCUUGAAACUUUAAAAAUAAAAGGAAAUAACAAAUUGUCAAAAGAAUUGACGAAAAUCUUUUUUGCAUUUUUCGGCUUUAAUAACCUAUACAAAAUGAAACCUAUGAUUACCAAAGAAAAGUCAUUUUGGAUUUUCGAUUUUGAAUUUCAUAUGAAAAUAAAACUUGAAACUAUUAAAGGAAAAUGUUUUUGUAGUUUUCUUUUUAGAGAUGUAUAUAAAACACUUACUUUAAAUAAAGAGUGAAGAAAAUCUUUUAGAAUUUUUCAAAUAAGAUCCCCGAACCAAAAAUAGGUUGCCUACAUAUCUCACAUCCCGAAAGAGGAGAAUCAGGGGUGCGUAGUUCAUCCAGAUUGGAAAAUUAAUGAUUAAAUAAUCGACUAAACCCGGACUUGAGAUACCAGACCACAAACAGAAGAUGAAAAACAUCAAUAAAAUCUUUUUAAGUUUUCAAUUUGACACUUAACCUAAAAAUGACACCAAUAAAUAUGCAAGGAAAAUCUUUUUUGAUAUUUUCGUUAUACGAAAUGUAUAAAACUUCUACCAGUUUUUAAAUUUUUCUUUUAUAAAAGGCUCCUAUUGAAAAAUAAUCUUUUUGAAAUUUUUGAAUUAUGAAUGCAUGCUAAAGGAGACAAAGCAAAAAACUUUCUGAUGUUUUUGAUUUUUGAGAAAUGAGUGCAAAAGGAAAAAAAAUCUUUCUGAAUUUUGAAUUUUGAAAAACAAAAGCCAUAAAGAACUCUGAAAACUAGAAACUCUCUUUUUUUUUCUUUUUGACUCACUAUUCUUUUUUUUUUUUUUUUUUUUACUUCUAACACAUGUUUUCCCCAAAUUAGUCCAUCAAAUGACCAUAUUACCCUCAAAGAUGCAACAAUUAACACGUAGGGAUGCUUUAGAGGCAAGUCUCCUACAAAAGGCCAAGUGGGCCCCUCUAGGUCUUCAAUAUGAUGCAUAUAAACAUGACCUACAAGGUGACCUACGUUGGGGUUCACUAACAAGGCUGUUCGGAGGAGCGUAUAGUCGAUAGUGGCUGCUUUGCUUUCCACCUACUCCAUAACAUCGAUGGCUCCUCCCCUAAAAUAAGGGUGACUCAACUAGAGGUCGUGUACAACACGUGUACUAUGGACUUGUUGCAGAAAGAAUGACUCGGGCUAUGCACAUGAUGCUAGAUAUAAAGCAGCAACACAUAAGAUAAAAUUAUAAACAAAGAGCAUGUAGGCACUCAAAAAAAUAACAAAAAGCAACGCAAAUAUAUGUCUAUACACGUAUAGUGACAAACUAAGCCGAUACAACUCCAAAUUAAGCUUGAAUUCUGAAAAUAGAUCUCCAACGGAGUCGCCAGAGCUGUCACACCCCUUUUUAACUCCAAAAAGAUAUUAUUUUAAAAGUUUGAAAGGGUUUUCGUUAUAAGUGACAAAAGAUAAAAAUUUGCUUCGAAAAGGACCUUUUAUAUUCAAAACUCAGAGUCGCCACUUGGCAUAAUCCGGUGUGCCAAGUCACCUUUGAAAAAUCCUUUUCAAAACGAUUUGACUCAAACUGGUUUGCGAACAGAGAUUUCAGCUAAGGAAUUCUGUUGACCGACGGAAAGGUGUUAGGCACCCCUCGAUCCUGUGGUUUGAACACGGUCGCUUGUUGGAGCGUAUCGGCUAAUUUGACACCACGAAUGUAUAAACCACACAAAAGCACGCAAAACAAUCAAUCAAGCAAAAAAAAUAAAAACAAUCCAAAAUUUGGUGUCCAGUCCAAUUUAUUACAAAUUGAAAUAGAAAAUACUGAAUAAACCUACACUAACCUAUACUAGUCCUAAAUUAAACUCUACCCGAUGCCUUGGGCCUUCAUCACAGACAUCCUCCGUGUACAAAAUACCUCAGGGCAUUCCCCAACGAAUAAACACAAAUACCUCGGGGCAUUCCCCAGCCAAAUGAAUACAUUUUCAAUGCAAGAAGACCACAAUCAUUCAAUAAUAUUUCAAACAUUCCACAAUUUAUAAUCCCUAAAUUUGCCUAUCACCCCUAUUGUUUGCCUAUCGAUUUGACGACCUAAUCUUGAUACUAUUAAGUUCGAUGACAUCAAUGAAUUAAAAUUAGUCCGUAUUCAUUUUUUUACUUUUCAAAUCCCGUCUCACUUUCAUUCUUGAUCAAUUAACCAAUUCCAAUACAGAAUCAACCAAUCAAAACUACGAUAAUCAUAGACGUUCAAACAUACUAUCAAAAAUUAUAUCAUCAAUCAACAUGAACCACGCAACUCACAACAUCACCUCACCAAAUUAAGUAAAACAAAGAGGAGGAGUUGAAGAAUUGGACCUUAGAAGAAGCUUUCAAAAUUGAUGUAUUAUUCCAAUAAAAACCCGGUACAAUCCGCGUCGAGAACCUCGAUUCAUACCUCAAUCACGAACUUGCCAACUCGAUCAAAACCCCAAAACAAUGGAGAAAACCACAAAAAAAAAAAAUCCAAAUCUCAAUUUUCGAACCAAGCUUGAAACGAGUCACGCUAGGUUUGCUAUUUUUGGUGAAGUUCGAACUCGCUGAAGCUCCGAUGGAUCUCGGCAGUCAGCGAAACAAUGUUUUCCCAGUGAGAUUUUGCCAGAGAACUAGAAACGAAAGAGAAUUCGAAGAUUUUGAGGGUGCGGAUGGUCUAAUUCCGGUAAGGGAAUACCGAUUUCGGUGAGAAACUCGCCGGAAAAACCAAACCAGCCGUCCUUUUUCUCAUGUAUUCCCUCUCUCCGAUCGAUUCUCUCCCUUUCUCGAUUUGGAUUGUCUUCUCUCCGAUCUCACGCUCAGAUUUGUCUCUCACUGUGGUUGUGUGUAUGUAUAAUGGUUUUGUGUGAAGGCAGGUGUAUUAAUGGAAUAAACUCAUCAGUGAUGGUGUCUAUAUAUUCCUCUUUCCCGUAUUCUAUAUGUGUAUAUGUUGAAUUGGGAUCUUUUUCUUUAUGGUUACCGUGAUGUUCGUCAAUGGCGUAUAGGUGUGUUCGUGCUAUAUGGGUCUUCUCUAAAAAUGGAAAAAUAUGGUCAGAAUGUUACUGUGGGGACAUCUAUAUUGUUAUCUAUUGUAUUCUUAUGUAUUCGCCUCCCUAUUUCUAUGUGAAGUAUAUGUGUAUAUUGUGAAUUCCAG
RNAcentral lists this long non-coding RNA (18935 nucleotides) under Capsicum annuum. RNAcentral describes it as "long non-coding RNA (CANN_LNC022006)". The record is from RNAcentral. Lineage: Eukaryota; Viridiplantae; Streptophyta; Magnoliopsida; Solanales; Solanaceae.